RNAcentral lists this ribosomal RNA (443 nucleotides) under uncultured bacterium. RNAcentral's name for it is "partial 16S ribosomal RNA". It matches the Rfam family "Bacterial small subunit ribosomal RNA", at positions 338 to 795 of the family's 1533-position model. The record is from RNAcentral.
CCUACGGGAGGCAGCAGUGGGGAAUAUUGGACAAUGGGGGGAACCCUGAUCCAGCGACGCCGCGUGAGUGAAGAAGUAUUUCGGUAUGUAAAGCUCUAUCAGCAGGGAAGAAAGAAAUGACGGUACCUGACUAAGAAGCCCCGGCUAACUACGUGCCAGCAGCCGCGGUAAUACGUAGGGGGCAAGCGUUAUCCGGAUUUACUGGGUGUAAAGGGAGCGUAGACGGCGAUGCAAGUCUGAAGUGAAAGGCGGGGGCCCAACCCCUGGACUGCUUUGGAAACUGGAUGGCUGGAGUACAGGAGAGGUAAGUGGAAUUCCUAGUGUAGCGGUGAAAUGCGUAGAUAUUAGGAGGAACACCAGUGGCGAAGGCGGCUUACUGGACUGUAACUGACGUUGAGGCUCGAAAGCGUGGGGAGCAAACAGGAUUAGAUACCCGUGUAGUC